GCCUGGGUGGCUCAGUCGGUUGAGCAACUGACUUCGGCUCAGGUCAUGAUCUCACGGUUUGUGGGUUCAAGCCCCAUGUCAGGCU
RNAcentral lists this transfer RNA (85 nucleotides) under Felis catus (domestic cat). It matches the Rfam family "tRNA". From Rfam's summary of the family: Transfer RNA (tRNA) molecules are approximately 80 nucleotides in length. Their secondary structure includes four short double-helical elements and three loops (D, anti-codon, and T loops). Lineage: Eukaryota; Metazoa; Chordata; Mammalia; Carnivora; Felidae. The record is from Rfam by way of RNAcentral.